UACGGGGGGGGCAAGCGUUGUUCGGAAUUACUGGGCGUAAAGGGCUCGUAGGCGGCCAACUAAGUCGGACGUGAAAUCCCCGGGCUCAACCCGGGAACUGCGUCCGAUACUGGGAGGCUUGAAUCCGGGAGAGGGAUGUGGAAUUCCAGGUGUAGCGGUGAAAUGCGUAGAUAUCUGGAGGAACACCGGUGGCGAAGGCGGCAUCCUGGACCGGUAUUGACGCUGAGGCGCGAAAGCCAGGGGAGCAAACGGG
Molecule: ribosomal RNA, 253 nt
Filed under: uncultured bacterium
Lineage: Bacteria
Description: partial 16S ribosomal RNA
Rfam family: Bacterial small subunit ribosomal RNA
Source: RNAcentral